This is a long non-coding RNA of Clupea harengus (Atlantic herring), 654 nucleotides long. The record is from Ensembl. Lineage: Eukaryota; Metazoa; Chordata; Actinopteri; Clupeiformes; Clupeidae.
ACAGCACCCAACAGGUGGACCUUGAAGGAGGAGAGGUGGCUGGCCAUGGCCACUGCCAGGCAGAGGAGCAGGCGGGUGACAGAGAGGACAUGACCGGGCGGAGGGACAGACUGAGCAGGAGCAGGAGAGUGUAGCUGAAGCAGUGAGCAUGGAGUAGCUUCAUGAUUAACAGGGACCCGUAGGGAGAUAAGUGUGUCUCACACCAAACUGCUGGGAAAGCCUCCAUUUGUCUGGCUGACACACGCCCCUAUGUUUGUUUGCUCUCGCCUCCGAGACGCCGCUGACAGUAUUGAGCCGUGUCGACGGGCGUUCCCCCCUCCGUUCACGCCUCAUGCAUCCAUCACUCUAGCGCACACACACAGGCACCCACACACACAGGCACGCAGAGGCACACACACACAGGCACACAGAGGCACACACACACACACACACACACACACACACACACAGGCACGCAGAGGCACACACACACACACACACACUGAGUGGACCUGUUAUAGUCACGGGUAUAGAUUAUCAACAUACUGACAAUAAGAGAAAAAGAAAAGGAAAGACACAGAGGUAGAAAAGGAAAGACACACACACACAUACACACACCAUGAGAACUAUAGUAACACUUCAAACACUGAGCUGAAACCUGUACUCCCAAACGUC